UGGGUUUUUUUUUGUGAAUUGGCGAAUAUUUUUGACGGAGAUAUGGCACAUGCGGGAUUGCACCAAAAAAAUUAACAAUUGUUCGCUCGUGGUGUAGGCCACAUGUCAGCACAGGGAGCAGCAUUUGCCGCAGUUGUCUCAAAUGGGAGCAGUUGAAUUUACCUGUCGGAGCUUGUUAACGGCGGGGUUUGGAGAAAAACAACAUUAGUUGUACAUAAAUUCAGUGGGUCAUUACUCAGGUGUUCUAGAAUGAUCCGGCUAAGUGACUGGAAAGGAAAUGAUUUCCACUAAAUUUCAGCAGCAAAAACAUGCUGGCUACUGUCCUCAUCUCAUCAUGUCACGAAACUUUUCCUAUUCAGGCAAUACGAGCCACUCUCGCAGAUCCCACCAUCGAUUUUUCCCGUGCACCUUCGUCUUCUUCUUGCAGCGAAAAAAACGACGACGGCGGGCACCAAACGGCAAAAGCGCGCUGCUGCUGCUAGUGGUAGCGUUUGCCCCGUUCAUUCGUUCUCCAGGGGGUUCUAUUCAUCACACAAUAUAUGUGCUCAGCGCCAAUACAUACACAAUGCGAAUGGCGACGAAGCGCUGCCAGCUUUGCGAAUAUAAUUUUGUUGAAUGAAUAUCAAAAGUUUGAAAAUAUCAUUCGUUCACAGCAAUACAAUGCGACAAUCCAAUCCCUCUACACUAUUGGCGUGUCGAAUAGUAUCGUCUUCUAUCCGUCAGCCAACCGAUCGAUGCGACUUGCCGUUCAGUGUCGCCUCAAUGGAACCUAACGACCUAACCCUUUCAAUACGGCAGUGUGCUCCGCCGGAGUGCUACCGCUGUACGGGGCACUGCGCCGAAAAAUGUGCACAUCGCGCUGGUGUGAUCGAUGUGCAGUAUCACUCUCAUGUCGUCUAAAGACGACGCUCGUACACACAGCUCAUCGCACGUCGUCUAUAGACGACGUCCGUAGCGAAAGGGUUAAUGUUUCAACGUGCGUGUAACCGAUAAUAUGCGGAACCAGUGACAGUGAGGAUGAUAAAUAUUUAACGGUAUCAGUGUUGAAAUUACGACUGAAGCUGAUCACCUUAACUAUCCUUAAGUGUGGGACACUCCCUCAUGGUGUGAUGUCGAAGAAAUUCAGUUGGAUGAGUCAGUCAACAUUCGUGGGAUCUCACAACACAAACUAUGACAAAUAUGAUUCAGGGCGAUUUUCACGUAAAAAAAAUCGAUAUAAUAGUUUCAGCCAAGCAGUUACACGCGUUUAGUCUCCACAAACUUUCACGGAUCAGCAGAGCUUCAACGUGAACUUUUUUUUUUCUAUUAUAGUGACUUUCAACACAUUUCGGCUGGUUCGUCACUUUUACUUCCAUUUUUGGAAGAAUGUCGGGAGUGAGAAUUGAACUCGUGAUCUCUGCGUGAGAGGUAUGGAUGUUACCACUACGCCAGAUCGCCUCCUCAGCGUGAACUUUACAUGCUUCGAUAUUUGAGCGAGCUUCCUUGAUUUUUUAGGAUUCAUCUUAUCAAAGAAUUGCUUCGUUGUCAAUCUUCCAUUAACUUUUAAACUUCCAAGCAAGAAAAUGUUUCUAAAGGUCCAUAACCUGUCAGUAGAGCGACAAGAAUUAAACAAUUAGUUUUUAUGAACCUCAUCUUAGACGGCACUAACGUUUAUAAAAGAACUUGGUCUUCUAAUGAAGCGAUCUGGCGUGGUUAACAUCGGUAUCUAUCACGCUCAAGGUCACGAGUUCAAUUCUCUCUGCCGACAUUCGUCGCUAAAUGAAAGUAAACAAAAUAUUUUGAUCGUUUGAGUUACGAUCCAGUCGAUAGGCUGAACGUUACUGUAAUACAGCAAAAGAAAACUUCGCCUUCUCCAGCUAGUAUUGCUGGCGAGUUCGAAAAUACGCGUAUAGUCCGACCAGUGCAAGUCGGAAGAACUUUCUUUGACAAAUAAAUUUCCUAUCUAAACGAGUCCCAUAGCGAUAGGUGACAUGUGAAAUGAAUCACUAACCCUUCAAUAAUUUUUUUUAAAUGAAAAUUUUCCCUAUUCAAAUACUUUGAUGUACUAAUAAAUCAAGAGACUUCGAACUUCGAUGCAAUAUCAAAUUUUACUGGUUUAUUAGAAUCUUUGCCAGUAAAACCCUCGUUGGAUUUGUCCCUUCAACCGAAUUACGGGUGAUUUUGAAGGCCUUCCGGUGGUGGGUACAGAUUCUCAAAUACAUCGAAUUAAAUUUGAGGAAAACCAAACUAACGGGGGUUACGCCGUCAAUUGUAUUGAUAAAGAGACCUUGUGUUAUCAAUCAAUUUCUUAGAUCUCUAGCAAAAAUUAGACACAUUUGUCAUUUUUAUUGAAUCGGCUUUUUUUUAUUCUUUAUUUGAGAGGUUUUUAGCCUCCUAGGCUGGUUCGCCUCUUUAUCGACGGCAGCUAAAGUUACCGUAAUAUAAAAUAAAUAAGACAUUUUACAUAAAGUUACAUUCAAUUUGCACUUUUCUUUUUACGGAGUCUUAAUACUGUCUGUUUUUGUUUUAAUUAUUCUCUUGGAUGCGGUUGUAGGCUUGGAUGUGCGUCUUCCAUGGCUCCAGGCCAGUAAGGGGACGCCCGUGCUGUCCGGAGACUCCGGGGGUUCUUAUUCCCCUUGUCGCGAAGGGGAAGGAACUGUGAUCUCCGGGUUGAAAAAAGAGGUUAUCGCAGAAAUUCGGUUCUCUGCAUGUACAUCAUUUUGUUGUUUUCGCAUUUCUUGGCCCGCGAUUGGAUGUCCGAGGGCUGGUAGACGGUCGGGCUGUUUGUUUGUUGACCACACUUUACGUCCAAUGUCCUUAGGUGGUUCGCUGGAUGGAGAAUCUAUUUUCCGUUUGUUAGAUGGUAUGUCAUGGGCGGAGCGAUGGUUUUUAACCGAGUGGGGCGGUGUAUUGGCGUGGACGGUGAGGGUGUUUCUCGUAGGAAGGGAUUCUGUUCGUCCGCAUCACUGUUGGCAUCUGAGCAGAUGUCCAGCCUGGUGUCUUGAAAAGUUGAAUCCUCCUUUUCUUCUGCAAUGGGUUCCAGAGCACGAACAAUUGUGGCCGGCGGAGUGGAAAUCUGCGUGUUUGUUGUAGGUGUGAGAAUUGGUCUGGCGGACUGCACUGUACCGGAUGUUUCGAUGCCGCUGGUUCGAGUCGACUGGGAUCUGGCGACGACGAUUUCCUUUUGUAGUGUGUCGAUGGUUUGGUCUCUCUGGGUCAAACGCUGCUCCAGAGCCACAAGGGUGUAGGUCAACUGGUCCAUUCUAGAGACUAACGGUCUGAAAACCUCUUCGUUUUUGGCAGCUUCUGCGCGCUGCGUUUCACAGAGGCAGCCAUAUUAGCGAUAAUUGUGUCUGUUUGUGCGAUUGCUUCCAUUAAUUCAUUGAUUCUUUGGUCCGUGAUUGCUUCGUGAGUCACCGUAUAAUCUGGUC
Molecule: long non-coding RNA, 3410 nt
Organism: Toxorhynchites rutilus septentrionalis
Lineage: Eukaryota; Metazoa; Arthropoda; Insecta; Diptera; Culicidae
Exons: 3
Source: RefSeq, a predicted model, not a curated record